This 240-nucleotide long non-coding RNA is filed under the name Lathyrus oleraceus (garden pea). RNAcentral's name for it is "Pisum sativum (pea) long non-coding RNA (PSAT_LNC000557)". The record is from RNAcentral. Lineage: Eukaryota; Viridiplantae; Streptophyta; Magnoliopsida; Fabales; Fabaceae.
UUCGGCAUCAUCAUCAAGUUUGUUAUCCGACCCCGCAGGCGCCGGUGUCAUCACAGGAGUACUACCAUUAUCCACCACAGCCUUUCCCUUUGCCCUGGCUAAAGCCUCGGCCUUUUCUUUUUUAUCUUUUUCUUCCUCCCCCCUCCUCAAUGCGUCGGGAGCAAACAACCUACCGCUGCGAGUGAAACCGCUGGGACCGGCAUUAUCCACCUUUAGCACGGUGGUUUCACUAGCGGAUUG